This 275-nucleotide ribosomal RNA is filed under the name uncultured bacterium. Its description in RNAcentral is "partial 16S ribosomal RNA". It matches the Rfam family "Bacterial small subunit ribosomal RNA", at positions 524 to 796 of the family's 1533-position model. The record is from RNAcentral.
UACGGAGGGGGCUAGCGUUGUUCGGAAUUACUGGGCGUAAAGCGCACGUAGGCGGACCAGAAAGUCGGGGGGUGAAAUCCCGGGGCUCAACCCCGGAACUGCCUUCGAAACUAUUGGUCUGGAGUUCGAGAGAGGUGAGUGGAAUUCCGAGUGUAGAGGUGAAAUUCGUAGAUAUUCGGAGGAACACCAGUGGCGAAGGCGGCUCACUGGCUCGAUACUGACGCUGAGGUGCGAAAGCGUUGGGGAGCAAACAGGAUUAGAUACCCGGGUAGUCC